AGCGCUCACUCUGGGGGAUUUUCAGAGUCAGGACCUGCUGUACUGCACACAGAUAGGUGUCAGAAUGUCCCUGUCUGUCCAUCCAGAGGCUUCCAUCUUGCCUGCAGUCAGAGACACCAAAACGAAACGUAUCAAACUUUUCAUUGUGAGCCCUGAGGAAAGGAUGAGAUGAGCUUACUGGUUUCCCUCCACACCUGAGCACCAACGGGCACAAACUGGAAUCCAUACUGCAGGUGUGGAGCAGGAACACGCCACUCAGACUGACCAAGAGAUCAUGUGGUUGCAUCAAGGCAAGGUUGAUGUAAAAAUGUGAAAAUCAAUCAUUUCAGCCCUGCUGCCUGCUUAAUUGACCGUCACACGUGUAUACACCCUCUCUACACCCAAGUGUCUCGUCGGCCACAGUGACAAACCCAGCCACUGUCCCAGUCCACCCCAGCCUCUGAGGUCGGCCCCCCAUUGAGGUAUACACCUCCUCUUCCCUCACACACGUCUGACACUCCACGUGGCAGCACCAGCGGACCUGACAGUGGCAGGACAGGCUGGUGAGUCGCAUGGCCGUGUUGUAACCUCGUCCACAGCACAUGCUCUGACAGCUGGUGUCUUUGGCGCACGACCGGCCGCCUGUACCCGGGGAGUAGCGAGAGGGUCUGCAGAAGCUCGGGGAGUCCUCCAGGUAGACCAGGUCAGUGGUUCGAAGGCUCUGGCCGUGUCGACGUGGGCCUGCAAGCUCUGUCUCUCCGGUGGCUGCGUUGGUGACGCUCAGCACUCGUACGGCCGUGUCGUAGCGAUACUUCAGUAGCCGGCCGGUGUCGUGGAAAGGAGACAGCUGCUUCCAGCAAGUCCGUACAGCACAGGAGCCGGAGACUCCAUGACACUUGCAGGUUGUUUUCAGGGCACUCUUCACUGCCUGAGAUGGAAGAAAAAGAAGGGGAGGGAGAGAUGUCAGUUCCUUCAGUUUGAUUCAUCACCUGGCCUCUUAUCUGGGAGGUCUAUCAGGACAGAAUGAGACAGUUUCCUGCAGGCUGGGUAGGGGGUUCGGGCUGGUGGUCUGCUAUCGUGCACCUUUAGCCCACCUCAGUCAAAAAUUUUGACAUAAUGGAUUGAGUGGGGACUGCUCAGCAUGCCGUAUUUCAUUUACCUCACAUUUCUCACUUGGACAGCUCCUGAAUUUGUUUUUCCCCCCAAUGUGUUGAAACUAGCUCGGUCUGUCUCUCUUCAUGAAGCCUGAGGCGGAGGUGACAAACAGUGCAGACAGUGGAAUCUCUCCACCCUGUUCUUUGUACAUGCCUGCUCAUGGAAAACAUUGAUAAGAAUUUCUGUGCAAGAAGUGCCAACAAAAAAAACGAGCAGUGGUUUGUGAUGGCACUCAGAUUUUGGGUAAUAGCUCAUGAGGUUGGUGGUCAGCGAUGAGAGUGCCAUCACUCAGCCUGAGAGCAGCUGUCGUGAAUCAGGGGCCAGAGACAGGUCAAACAGAGAGAGCCAGAGGGGACUUGUGGCUUGAAAAGUUCUGCUCCGUUCCUCCCAUCGCAGGUAUGAGCCCCUCAGGGGGCUCAGAGAGCCAUUACUGCGAGAUCGGGGGGCGGCGACCUCUCCUUGUUUUGUUGGCUCAUGGUCUCUCCUCCAGAGAGGUGUAAAGAGAGGAAAACAUUUACCUCAGUUUAGAUGAGAUAAGAUAGUUCUUCCUGUCGUGUUUGUGUCUUUUUGUCUCUGGCUCUAAGUGUGAGCUACAGGAGAAGCACCCUGGGGCCUGCUACUUCACUGCUCCACACUGCUUGUUAUGAACAUUAGUUGGAUUUAUGAAGAGCACAGUGAUCCAGUAAGUGGAAAAAAAUGCUUGCUCGUAUAUUAAAAAGAGGCCAUGGUUAUAAUCGUUCUCUCUGACACGAGACCUUUAAUUUUCUGCAGGGCCCGCACAGCAAGCUUUAUCAUGCCUGAGAACACCUGGCUCCAACCAUCCCACAGCCUUCUUGUCUCCCUGCUGUGCCGCCUCACCCCUUAAGUCUGUGCUCUUCAUGAAGGCCAACGACGGCAACAAAUAAGGGGGUGUUUGUCUGGCUGGCACUGUGCAAAAUAAACAGGUUUGGAUCAUGA
This is a long non-coding RNA of Notolabrus celidotus (New Zealand spotty), 2091 nucleotides long. RefSeq lists it as uncharacterized. The record is from RefSeq and is a predicted model, not a curated record. The transcript is spliced from 5 exons. NCBI's taxonomy places the organism in Eukaryota, Metazoa, Chordata, Actinopteri, Labriformes, Labridae.